AUUGAACGCUGGCGGCAUGCUUUACACAUGCAAGUCGAACGGUAACAGGGUGCUUGCACCGCUGACGAGUGGCGAACGGGUGAGUAAUGCGUCGGAACGUGCCGAGUAGUGGGGGAUAACGCAGCGAAAGUUGUGCUAAUACCGCAUACGUACUGAGGUAGAAAGUGGGGGACCUUCGGGCCUCACGCUAUUCGAGCGGCCGACGUCUGAUUAGCUAGUAGGUGAGGUAAAGGCUCACCUAGGCGACGAUCAGUAGCGGGUCUGAGAGGAUGAUACGACACACUGGGACUGAGACACGGCCCAGACUCCUACGGGAGGCAGCAGUGGAGAAUUCUGGACAAUGGGCGAAAGCCUGAUCCAGCCAUGCCGCGUGUCUGAAGAAGGCCUUCGGGUUGUAAAGGACUUUUGUCGGGGAGGAAAUCCCCAGCGUUAAUACCGCUGGGGGAUGACAGUACCUGAAGAAUAAGCACCGGCUAACUACGUGCCAGCCGCCGCGGUAA
Molecule: ribosomal RNA, 500 nt
Filed under: uncultured bacterium
Lineage: Bacteria
Description: partial 16S ribosomal RNA
Rfam family: Bacterial small subunit ribosomal RNA
Source: RNAcentral